UGGGCAAGGGGAAGUCCUCCAGAAGGAAACACAGGGAGCUUCUGCUGAUGAGUCCAUAGGGCCUUAAACCUCCUUGGGUGUCUGCUUGCUCUACUUGGCUGCCUACGAACCAUUCGCCUGAUUGCCAGGGAAGAGAUCAGGAAGGAAAUUUUGAUUCGAUCUGAUCACAAAGGCUGCUGGUGCUUCUUCGAUCUUCCUCUGUGGCUUAAGGCUUGGUCUCCCUCCUGGAUGUCUUCACAGCUGCGUUUCCUGCUGUUGUUCGGACCCGAUGCUUCAGGACAGUUCUUGACCAUUAACACCAAUAUCUUUGGGAUAACAGAGAUCAGCAAACAGCUUGUGAUCCAACAAGGAAACAGCUGGACUAACAACAGGACUCUUGUUCAACACUCAUGACGAUGGUUGAACGCUCUCCUGAGAAAAGCAGGAUUCCUGUAUGGAAGGAGGAUGAGCACCCCAGCUUUGCAGCUGCAGGUUCAAAGUGCUGACAGCACCACCUCACCAUCCAUCUCAGACACGACUCCUUCUUCAAGCAGAGUUGCCUACCUGUCUCAGCCAAAGUCUUUGCGGCUUUUAGCUGCUGAAUACUCGGAGAGAGCCAAACCAGACUUUAGCUGGACAAUCCCAGAACUGGAAAUUACAUCAGUGUUCUGCUUCUUCCAGCAUCUCUUCAUUGGCCUGAAGUCAGCCCCUUUCUUGUGGAAAUAAAGGUAUUUCUGGCCCUGUGAUCCUACGUGCAGGACUAGGUGAUUUAAAGCAAUUGAUGAUGACACUUGUGGAUGCUGGCUUAUGCGUCAUGUUGUCUGAUGUGCCUCCGUAUUUGCUUGUAGGUUGUGUGAUUUUUGAGGCCGGUCAUGAGCGGCAGGCUGCACUUGCUGGUUUGUUAUUCUGGAGUUGUGCAUGUGGGCUGAACUGUUGGCAUUAAUUAUUUUUAAUAGCGAGUCAGACACUGAAUUACAGGAUCCUACCAAUGGAUAGAAGAGCAAACAAAGAAACAAACGGCCUUCCUCUCCCUCCCCUGACAUGUCAUAUUUUGUCUCCUAUGACCUCAACCGGCCCUUUAAAUUUCGUAUCAAACAUUAGAAAGAAAGAGGUCAAAGUAAGAGCCCUGUUGAAAAAAACCCCACAGCCAACCCAGAUAUGAACUAUGGGAACUUGUCAUCUUAUCAUCCUAAUUGAAGUCAUUCUGCAAUGUAUGACAGUCCAUCAUAUAUUCUGCCAGUCAGUGUGUCAUACAUGAUGUGUAACGAGAGAGCUCAUAAACCCAGAGGGGAAGCCCCUUCUUUUUUAUUACUUUAUUUGAUCAUUUUCAUAAAAAUUCCCCUUGCUCAAUACAGAGGGACGUGUUUAUUAGCCCCAUUAAAGCUUUGUCCAUUCAUUUGACACUGUGAUUUACACAGCUUUACCCACAAAAGAAUCCCAUUAUUUCCAGUCUGGAAAGGUGUCUUUUUUAUUGUGUGAUGAAAAAUAAGUAUUUAAUUCCACAGGUGAAGGCAAAGAAAGGGGAGGUUGUUGUCAGAGAUUCAGAAGUAAACAAAAGGAUGCUUUAGGUAUAAUUGACUCAGAAAAAGAAAACAUUCCCCGUAAAUAUAGAAAAAUAAAUAAAUAAAGAUGCUCUUCCCAAAGAGUGGGAAUUGAACUGGGCUCAGCUGAACUUUUUUUUUUUUCCCUGUGUGCCUUCAUUAAAACCAGCAGAAUUUGGCAAAAUUUCCCUCUGUGUUCUACUCAUGAAUGUUUCUAGAAAAUAUCAGCUUUCAUACGCAAAUAUUCUUGAAGUGAAAUUGGUGGCUUCCUUUGAACACAGCUAGUGCCUCAAAUCCCAUCUGCUUUUCCUACAACACGCCCACUCAUUAUCUAGCUUAUUUGGCUUUAUUUUAUUUUUUUUAAAUGAACACAAAUUAAGCUAUUUAAUCAAAUAUGUACAUGAUUACAUGGCAUUUUUGCAUAAGAGUUAUACACCCACGGAAAUCAUUAAUCACAGAUAACAACACUAUGUUAAAAUUAGACAUUUUGCUUGCUUUCUUUUUGUGUGUGUGUGUGUGUGCUUUUUAACACAAUAUCCUGCGUAGCUCUAAUUUCAC
Grus americana (Whooping crane) is the source of this 2078-nucleotide long non-coding RNA. RefSeq lists it as uncharacterized. The record is from RefSeq and is a predicted model, not a curated record. The transcript is spliced from 4 exons. NCBI's taxonomy places the organism in Eukaryota, Metazoa, Chordata, Aves, Gruiformes, Gruidae.